Molecule: ribosomal RNA, 464 nt
Filed under: uncultured bacterium
Lineage: Bacteria
Description: bacterial SSU rRNA
Rfam family: Bacterial small subunit ribosomal RNA
Source: RNAcentral
GUGAACGCUGGCGGCGUGCUUAACACAUGCAAGUCGAACGGUAACAGGAAGUAGCUUGCUACUUUGCUGACGAGUGGCGCACGGGUGAGUAUACCAUAGAUAAUGUACCUCUUAGUUCGGGAUAGCCACUGGAAACGGUGAUUAAUACCGGAUACUCCUUCUUACUCUAAGGUAAGUCGGGAAAGUUUUUUCGCUAAGAGAUCAGUCUAUGUCCUAUCAGCUAGUUGGUGAGGUAAUGGCUCACCAAGGCUAUGACGGGUAUCUGGUUUGAGAGGAUGAUCAGACACACUGGAACUGAGACACGGUCCAGACUCCUACGGGAGGCAGCAGUGAGGAAUAUUGCACAAUGGAGGAAACUCUGAUGCAGCAACGCCGCGUGGAGGAUGACGCAUUUCGGUGUGUAAACUCCUUUUAAGAGGGAAGAUAAUGACGGUACCUCUUGAAUAAGCACCGGCUAACUCCGU